RNAcentral lists this long non-coding RNA (740 nucleotides) under Homo sapiens (human). Its description in RNAcentral is "non-protein coding lnc-SERPINI1-13:1". Lineage: Eukaryota; Metazoa; Chordata; Mammalia; Primates; Hominidae. The record is from RNAcentral.
AAUUUUCCACACAUAUAGAGAACAAACUCUUAGUUAAAUACACAUUAUUAUUCUAGUAAUAUAUUACUGAUAUUUGGGGCAAAAGCAAUGCAAACUCAUCUGAAAGGCAGUAAUGCCUUUAAGUAAUGCUUCUCAGUAAUGUAAAGGAACAAAAUGAUAUGGAGGUUCUAACUGAUCUUUAAAAUAUGACUAGAAUAAUAAGCAGAAGCCAAAUGAUAUUCUUUUAUAAUGUAGACAUACAGAUUAUGUCUCUCCCAACUCAUCUCCCAAAUUACUGUGCUCAACAAAGGCCCUUCAUAUUAUCAACUUUAGAAUUAUUUCAAUUUUCCACUUAAGCUCCCAAAGCACCUUCCAAAUAAUACACAUCCUAAUAAAGAUUUAGAUUUUAGAGCCUGAGAUGGAGAGGAACAGUGAUGCUUGUCAUGAGCUUCCCCAAUCACUCGCAGGUCAUCAAUAGGACACUUACUAAGCUGUAAAUGCUUCUAAGAGACAGUAAAGCCACAGAGUAGGAUUUGGUCUCUAUCAGUAUUCUCCAGACAAGAUUCUACUUCAAUUCACUUAGGAGUCUUGAACAUGUUUGAGAGUUCACUGCCAUCUCAGCUGAUCUAUUAUCUGCACAUCCCUGGCCAUGAAUGUUACUCCAGUGCAAAUGACACUAUUCUUGGGAACGUAGAGACUACCAAAUUACCACCUUCACACUAAACUCUAAUUACUCCACAAUCUCUUGUCAUAUGGAUUUU